AUGAAAAUGAAAAAGUUCUCAGGUCACAAGCAGCUCAGAUUCCAGGGCGACAGAUGCUGAGCCCAUGUGGCAUCGCUUACAACGCUUCCCAGUCAGUGAGUCAACCCCCUGCCUGGGGCCGCCUCGGCGAUGGGGUUUACCAACAGUUUCUCCGAUUGUCCGUGGAGCCUAGGAGCGCUGGAAUCCAGCAUUUGGGAGAGGCUCGCGACGUGCUCCUUCGGCUUCCUCAGCCACAAAGUCGACCUGCCAGCGCCCGGAAAGAGUGAUUAUCAUUGUCCUGGAUUUCUGUGGUCAAAAACAGUCAGCAUCAGUAAAAGACGGCUAUAAAUGAUGUGGGAAAAAGCUCUGAUCAGAAGUGUUUGCCACAUUGGAUACACAACUUUGAAGCCAAGCAAAGAGGGCCCUUGCUUACCUUCUGCCACAGUGAGAAUUCAACUAGAUGAAUUCUAUAGGAUGAAAAUUGCAAGUAUUUGCAUGACUGGAUCCUAUAAUAUAUAUAAAAAAGAUAUUU
This 511-nucleotide long non-coding RNA is filed under the name Ictidomys tridecemlineatus (thirteen-lined ground squirrel). RNAcentral describes it as "lncRNA (ENSSTOG00000029523.1)". The record is from RNAcentral. Lineage: Eukaryota; Metazoa; Chordata; Mammalia; Rodentia; Sciuridae.